CUACGGGAGGCAGCAGUGGGGAAUAUUGGACAAUGGGCGAAAGCCUGAUCCAGCAAUGCCGCGUGAGUGAUGAAGGCCUUAGGGUUGUAAAGCUCUUUUAACCCGGGAUGAUAAUGACAU
Molecule: ribosomal RNA, 120 nt
Filed under: uncultured Sphingopyxis sp.
Lineage: Bacteria; Pseudomonadati; Pseudomonadota; Alphaproteobacteria; Sphingomonadales; Sphingopyxidaceae
Description: partial 16S ribosomal RNA
Rfam family: Bacterial small subunit ribosomal RNA
Source: RNAcentral